GUAAGCCUACGGGGGGCAGCAGUGAGGAAUAUUGGUCAAUGGGCUUACGCCUGAACCAGCCAAGUCGCGUGAGGGAAGACUGCCCUAUGGGUUGUAAACCUCUUUUGUCAGGGAGCAAAGUCACCCACGUGUGGGUGUUGGAGAGUACCUGAAGAAAAAGCAUCGGCUAACCCCGUGCCAGCAGCCGCGGUAAUACGGAGGAUGCGAGCGUUAUCCGGAUUUAUUGGGUUUAAAGGGUGCGUAGGCGGGUUAUCAAGUCAGCGGUAAAAUCGUGGAGCUCAACUCCAUCCAGCCGUUGAAACUGG
Molecule: ribosomal RNA, 305 nt
Filed under: uncultured bacterium
Lineage: Bacteria
Description: bacterial SSU rRNA
Rfam family: Bacterial small subunit ribosomal RNA
Source: RNAcentral